Molecule: ribosomal RNA, 223 nt
Filed under: uncultured eukaryote
Lineage: Eukaryota
Also listed under: 1 other name
Description: partial small subunit ribosomal RNA
Rfam family: Eukaryotic small subunit ribosomal RNA (bases 92-223)
Source: RNAcentral
GGAUCGGCCGUUGUGGUCUCGCCUCACGGUGAGCACUGCAAGUGUCGUUUCUUACCUUUUCUGGGUGGAUAAGGUGCUCUUUACCGGGUGCUUUAUUCCGGCCAGGAUCUUUUACUUUGAAAAAAUUAGAGUGUUUAAAGCAGGCAAUUUCGCUUGAAUACAUUAGCAUGGAAUAAUAGAAUAGGACUUUGGUUCUAUUUUGUUGGUUUCUAGGACCGAAGUA